UCUCCCCUCCCUGCUCGGUGGUCCAGGCAGCAGCUGGAAAAUGCUGUCUGCAGAGUUUGGAGUCUGUCUGGGUUCUCUUUCAGGGACCAAAGGGUCUUGAUCCGGCCGUGCUCCUCCUCCUCCAGAAACCCCCUCCCCCGUCAAUGGGGUGGGCGUGGAGUUGGGCAACUUCGCAAGGGAGCCCAAAGGGGAGGAAGCCGAAGGCAGCGCCGUCACGUCCGGCUCCCAUGCGAAAAGAGGAAGGGACUUCUCCCAGGAAGGGGUCACUCUGUGGGUCGGAAGUUAGCAGGAAGUGGGGAGGGGGGCAGAAGGACCCCCUGGAGAAGCGAGAGGUUUCAGAAAGGUAAAGAGGGGCGCCAGUCGACCACGGACCCCCCUUCUCCGCUUUAUAUUGCAGAAAGGAAAUCGGAAUAGCUACGAAGGGAGGCGGAUGGUCAGAGGAGAAAGAGGGAAGCUGCUGCCUCGGAUGCUGGGAGCUCCAGAGCUCCAGACCCUUUGAUCUGCAUUCUUCCAAGCCAGACCAUUGGUCCAUUGGGAGAGGAGAGCAGAGGGGCACUUGAAGGAGUCCGUGUCAGGAUAAAAAGGUUAUGGAGAAGACAGUGUGUCAUCUGUAAUUUCAUUUGGAAAUACGAAGAGGACCAUUUAAAUGUGGUGAAUGUGGAAUGUGCUUCAGUCAAUGUGCACAGUUAAUAAACUCACAGAGUGGGGGAAGCCGUUUAAAGGUAAUGGAGUGUGGAAAGAGCUUCAGACAAACUUCAUCUCUUACUUUACAUCGUCUAACUCACAUGAGUGAGAAACCCUACAAAUGUAUGCAGUGUGGAUGGAGAUUCAGUAUGAGUAGACAACUUAUUGUACAUCAAAGGAUUCACGCAACAGAAAAACCAUUUAAAUGUAUAGAGUGUGGAAAGAGCUUCUGUCAUAGCAUAACGCUAAGCAACCAUCAACGGAC
Podarcis muralis (Common wall lizard) is the source of this 949-nucleotide non-coding RNA. NCBI's taxonomy places the organism in Eukaryota, Metazoa, Chordata, Lepidosauria, Squamata, Lacertidae. The record is from RefSeq and is a predicted model, not a curated record.